CGAACCACGAUAAGAAGGGGGAUCACCACGUGUCGAUUCACGUUUUAUACGUGAUUUAUAAGUGCGAUGUUUAUUAAGUUCGACUCGAUAAAUAUACUACGAGUUCCGCGAAAAGAAUCUUCCAGUGAAAGCGAGAUCAGCGCUAAGUGUUUGUGAAAUCGUGAAACUGCGAAACCAACCACGUGUGUGACAUCUAUUACCAAGGUGGAUCGUAAAAUCGUAAAACCGUGCCUUUUGUUUCUUGUUCUGGAGAGGAGCGAGGCGACGAUUUCUCGACACGCGAAGCGCGAUUUUCGUAGGAAUCCUCGUUUCAUCGAUCUGCAGGGAGACCCAGUUACGCCUCCUGUUGAAUGCAAUUUAUCGGAUUAAAGGGGAGCUCCACAUGAAAUUGGCAUCAGCCAGGGAAUGUUAACACGGUGUAAGAAGAGGAGAAGGAAGAAGCAGGCAUUCAGGAGAAUUUAUCUCCAACGCGGAACCAACACGUGGUGCUUGUGCUGGUACAUACACUAACCGAGUCGAAGCAACAAAUAGCUGUUGCGAACUCGUUGUAAGCUUCGGAUUUUUUUAAUCGUCGUGGAAAACAUAUUGUUCGAUCGUUCGAAUAAUCGAAUUUGAAAGGAGAACAUACGUAAGCGCAUGCAAGAGACAUUUAG
Molecule: long non-coding RNA, 653 nt
Organism: Apis dorsata (giant honeybee)
Lineage: Eukaryota; Metazoa; Arthropoda; Insecta; Hymenoptera; Apidae
Exons: 3
Source: RefSeq, a predicted model, not a curated record